This is a non-coding RNA of Equus caballus (horse), 1492 nucleotides long. NCBI's taxonomy places the organism in Eukaryota, Metazoa, Chordata, Mammalia, Perissodactyla, Equidae. The record is from RefSeq and is a predicted model, not a curated record.
CUGUUAGGUGUCCCCACAGUGCUUAUCUUGCUGCUGCCUUUGGGGAAAGGGAGCCCAUCUAGGGCUCAAAUGGAAGAGAUGGAAAUGAGUCUCAGAAGUCCAGCCUCCAUCUUGCCUUCUCUGGGUUUAACUCAAAAAAGCAGAUGAAAGCAGAAGCCUGGGGAGUGAGGCUGAAUCCAGAGAUGGGAUCAGGGCAGCAGCUUGACAGCAGACUGUGACGGCUAAUAAGCAAGUCUCCUUGGGGACACACGGAACACUGGAUCAGAAUAUCAAAUCCCAGGAAGGAAGCACUGGAAGGGAUUUGAGAUAUUUUGGUAUCAAACUGUCAUUCUGUAAAUGAGAAGUCUCAGGUCCAGAGAGGAGAAUUGACUUGUCCAAGAUCACACUUUCCAUUGUGCCAGGCAAUGAGUUUCCAAAGGCUCUAGCCAAAAUUGUGAUGUCAUAAUAGCUCCCCCUUGCAUAUUAUUUUAUGCUUCAAAAGGCUCUUUUCUAGCCGUUCUCUCACUUGAUCCUCAUGACAAUCCUGUGAGCUGAGUCACACAGUAGGAAGUGUUGCCUUUUCUUAAGAAUCCGGAUUUCAGAGUGGUUGAGCACUCGCCUGAAGCCACACAGUAAAUGCUAGAGCUGGGAAACAUUUUAAAGGUCAUCCUGGCUGCUGCAAGGAGAAGAGAUUGAAGUGGGGCAGCAUCACGGGCACCUGCGGGCCCAGAAGGAGAGAAAAUAGAAGAAUGUGUGGAACUGGUGAAAAGCAACAAGUAAACCGAAGCCCAGAAGCUCAAUGACCUGCCCAACAUCACAAAGACCAAAGAACAGAGCCAGGAAUCAAAGAUGGGUGGAUCUUUUCAAUUCAAAUCCUAUGUCCUUUCUUCCACAACACCACGACUCCCUGUGGCUGAUGGAGAAGUUCCAGGCACUGAAUAGAAGUAUGAGAGAGCUAUUUGGGAGGAUGUGGGUCUGCCUGGUACCAUCCAAGUCACACCAUCACUGACAUCUUGAAAGGGUGUGACACCUGCGACUCUGCCUGAAUUGCAGCUACCAGUCCCUGGGGAACAGAGAACACUGUGCCCGACCUGUGAUGAGGUGAGGGGCAGCACAGACUGAGAAGUCAGAGAAAGCUGUAGUGGAACACGACUUCCGACAAUUCACUGGCAUCACAUCGUUCCUGGGUGGCCUCACUUCCUCCAGGCAGCUUCCCCAGAGGGGUGUCAUUUCAGCUAGAAGAGGAGCUUGGACAUAUGUACAACUUGGACCUUUCUCUCCCACAGCUGCAAACAGCAAAGAGUAUGGAAGAGUACACAAGAACACGUGAACCCGCAUUCACUCAGUGACAUGAGAACCCUGUUAAUAGCCUAGGGUUUAGUCCCCCCUUCUCUCACUUUUCUUUGAAGUGAAAUCAUUCUGUUGUCAACCUUGGUGAGGGUUAGCCUGUUUGACUGAAGCAGUAAUUUGACAAGAUGUGUCUUCACUGUCAUUCAAAUGGUGGAAUACAGCU